AGCAGCCGCGGUAAUUCCAGCUCCAAUAGCGUAUAUUAAAGUUGUUGCAGUUAAAAGCUCGUAGUUGAAUUUCGGGAUCAAUUAAUUGGUCGUGCCUCUGGUACGUACUGAUUUUAUUGGUUUCUCCCUUCUGACGAACCAUGAUGUCAUUAAUUUGGUGUCGUGGAGAAUCAGGACUGUUACUUUGAAAAAUUAGAGUGUUUAAAGCAAGCUAACGCUUGAAUACAUUAGCAUGGAAUAAUGAAAUAGGACGUUUGAUCCUAUUUUGUUGGUUUCUAGGAUCGACGUAAUGAUUAAUAGGGAUAGUUGGGGGCAUUAGUAUUCAAUUGUCAGAGGUGAAAUUCUUGGAUUUAUUGAAGACUAACUACUGCGAAAGCAUUUGCCAAGGAUGUUUUCAUUAAUCAAGAACGAAAGUUAGGGGAUCGAAGACGAUCAGAUACCGUCGUAGUCUU
This 452-nucleotide unclassified non-coding RNA is filed under the name uncultured Glomus. RNAcentral describes it as "SSU rRNA". It matches the Rfam family "Eukaryotic small subunit ribosomal RNA", at positions 569 to 1027 of the family's 1831-position model. The record is from RNAcentral. Lineage: Eukaryota; Fungi; Glomeromycota; Glomeromycetes; Glomerales; Glomeraceae.